CACCUGGGUGGCUGUAGUGACCCUGAGUGUGGAUUUGGGCCUGGCUGUGGGUGUGGUCUUCUCCAUGAUGACUGUGGUCUGCCGCACCCGGAGCUCCUCCAGGUCCCGGGGCUCUGCAUCCUGAGCUAUCCAACACCACUGUACUUUGGGACCCAUGGGCAGUUUCGCCGCAACCUGGAGUGGCACCUGGGGCUCGGAGAAGGAGAAAAGGAGACUUCAAAGCCAGAUGGCCCAAUGGUUGCAGGUGAGAUGGGGUGACAAGAAGGAAGAUUUGGGCAUGUUGCAUGGUGACACCUGGGUACUCCUGUCUUCUCCCAUUCUAGUUGCUGAGCCUGUCAGGGUGGUGGUCCUAGACUUCAGUGGUGUCACCUUUGCAGAUGCUGCUGGGGCCAGAGAAGUGGUGCAGCUGGCCAGCCGAUGUCGAGAUGCUAGGAUCCGCCUCCUCCUGGCUCAGUGUAAUGGGUGACCCCAGAUCAGCUGUUUGUGAGUGUGCAGGAUGCAGCUGCUUAUGCCCUGGGGAGCCUGGUAAGGGGCAGUAGCACCAGGAGUGGGAGCUGGGAGGCACUGGGCUGCGGCAAGUGAGGCAGGGGAGCUCACUGACCCAAAGAUUUGCACCGUGUGGGUCUGACCUCAUCAUGUGGAGUGCAGAGGGCCCUGAUGACAUGUGUGUGAUGAGGACCAUGACCCUUGAACCCCCUUACCUAACGUAACUAAUAAAAUGAAGCUGAGAGCUUUGGAAUCC
RNAcentral lists this small RNA (742 nucleotides) under Pan troglodytes (chimpanzee). RNAcentral's name for it is "processed transcript". Lineage: Eukaryota; Metazoa; Chordata; Mammalia; Primates; Hominidae. The record is from RNAcentral.